CAUUUUUCUACUUCAUUGAGAAUGAACAGCGAAUGUGAGUGCCAAGUGGGCCAUUUUUGGUAAGCAGAACUGGCGCUGUUGGAUGCACAAAACGUCAAGAUAAAGAGCCAGAUGGUCUCGCUCAUCAGAUACCAUAAAAGGUGUUGGUCGAUAUAGACAGCAGGACGGUGGCCAUGGAAGUCGGAAUCCGUUAAGGAGUGUGUAACAACUCACCUGCCGAAUCGACUAGUCCUAAAAAUGGAUGGCGCUCGAGCGAGCCUCUUAUACUUGACUGUUACGAUACAAUAAGCCAUUUAAACGGACAUCAUGUCGUAACAAGUAGGACGGUUGAUAUGGUUGCGUCGAAGGCUAACACGUGAGUGUGGCUUGAGCAGUCAUAUGUACAGAUCUUAGUGGUAGUAGCAACUAUUCAAAUGAGAACUUUGAAGACUGACGUGGAGAAAGGUUCCAUGCGAACAGCUAUUGGACAUGGGUCAGUCAGUCCUAAG
Molecule: ribosomal RNA, 488 nt
Filed under: uncultured eukaryote
Lineage: Eukaryota
Description: eukaryotic LSU rRNA
Rfam family: Eukaryotic large subunit ribosomal RNA
Source: RNAcentral